ACGGGAGGCAGCAGUGGGGAAUCUUCCGCAAUGGGCGAAAGCCUGACGGAGCAAUGCCGCGUGAAUGAAGAAGGCCUUCGGGUCGUAAAGUUCUGUCCUUAUUGAAGAGAGGUUUAUGUGUAAAUAAUGCAUAGAUAGGACGGUAGAUAAGGAGGAAGCCCCGGCUAACUACGUGCCAGCAGCCGCGGUAAUACGUAGGGGGCAAGCGUUGUCCGGAAUCACUGGGCGUAAAGGGCGCGUAGGCGGCUCGAUAAGUCAGAUGUGAAAAGUGAGGGCUCAACCCUUAGAGUGCAUCUGAUACUGUCGGGCUUGAGUGCAGAAGAGGAAAGCGGAAUUCCUAGUGUAGCGGUGAAAUGCGUAGAUAUUAGGAGGAACACCAGUGGCGAAGGCGGCUUUCUGGGCUGUAACUGACGCUGAGGCGCGAAAGCGUGGGGAGCAAACAGGAUUAGAUACCCUGGUA
Molecule: ribosomal RNA, 460 nt
Filed under: uncultured Peptococcus sp.
Lineage: Bacteria; Bacillati; Bacillota; Clostridia; Eubacteriales; Peptococcaceae
Description: bacterial SSU rRNA
Rfam family: Bacterial small subunit ribosomal RNA
Source: RNAcentral